UACGUAGGCAGCGAGCGUUGUUCGGAGUUACUGGGCGUAAAGGGUGUGUAGGCGGUUCUUUAAGUUUGGUGUGAAAUCUCCCGGCUCAACUGGGAGGGUGCGCCGGAAACUGAAGGGCUAGAGUGCGGGAUGGGAGAGUGGAAUUCCUGGUGUAGCGGUGAAAUGCGUAGAUAUCAGGAGGAACACCGGUGGUGUAGACGGCUCUCUGGACCGUAACUGACGCUGAGACACGAAAGCGUGGGGAG
RNAcentral lists this ribosomal RNA (245 nucleotides) under uncultured bacterium. RNAcentral describes it as "partial 16S ribosomal RNA". It matches the Rfam family "Bacterial small subunit ribosomal RNA", at positions 524 to 768 of the family's 1533-position model. The record is from RNAcentral.